CGUGGACUUGCUCCUGANUUACGGCGGNGGGUGAGUACACGUGGGCACCUGCCUAUAAGACUGGGAUAACUUCGGGAAACCGGAGCUAAUACCGGAUACGUUCUUUUCUCGCAUGAGAGAAGAUGGAAAGACGGUUUACGCUGUCACUUAUAGAUGGGCCCGCGGCGCAUUAGCUAGUUGGUGAGGUAAUGGCUCACCAAGGCGACGAUGCGUAGCCGACCUGAGAGGGUGAUCGGCCACACUGGGACUGAGACACGGCCCAGACUCCUACGGGAGGCAGCAGUAGGGAAUCUUCCGCAAUGGACGAAAGUCUGACGGAGCAACGCCGCGUGAACGAAGAAGGCCUUCGGGUCGUAAAGUUCUGUUGUUAGGGAAGAACAAGUACCAGAGUAACUGCUGGUACCUUGACGGUACCUAACCAGAAAGCCACGGCUAACUACGUGCCAGC
RNAcentral lists this ribosomal RNA (448 nucleotides) under Peribacillus simplex. Its description in RNAcentral is "bacterial SSU rRNA". It matches the Rfam family "Bacterial small subunit ribosomal RNA", at positions 75 to 512 of the family's 1533-position model. The record is from RNAcentral. Lineage: Bacteria; Bacillati; Bacillota; Bacilli; Caryophanales; Bacillaceae.